GAAAUGCGAUAAGUAAUGUGAAUUGCAGAAUGCAGUGAAUCAUCGAAUCUUUGAACGCACAUUGCGCCCGCCAGUAUUCUGGCGGGCAUGCCUGUUCGAGCGUCAUUACAACCCUCAGGCCCCCGGGCCUGGCGUUGGGGAUCGGCGGAAGCCCCCUGCGGGCACAACGCCGUCCCCCAAAUACAGUGGCGGUCCCGCCGCAGCUUCCAUUGCGUAGUAGCUAACACCUCGCAACUGGAGAGCGGCGCGGCCACGCCGUAAAACACCCAACUUCUGAAUGUUGACCUCGAAUCAGGUAGGAAUACCCGCUGAACUUAAGC
RNAcentral lists this unclassified non-coding RNA (320 nucleotides) under plant metagenome. RNAcentral's name for it is "partial contains 5.8S ribosomal RNA, internal transcribed spacer 2, and large subunit ribosomal RNA". The stretch from base 1 to 105 matches the Rfam family "5.8S ribosomal RNA", at positions 50 to 154 of the family's 154-position model. The record is from RNAcentral.